AGGAUUAACGCUGGCGGCGUGCCUAACACAUGCAAGUCGAACGAGGUAGCAAUACCUAGUGGCAGACGGGUGGGUAACACGUGGGCAACCUGCCCCUCACACUGGGAUAACCUCGGGAAACCGGGGCUAAUACCGGAUACGACCUCGAGCGGCAUCUCUUGAGGUGGAAAGCUCCGACGGUGAGGGAUGGGCCCGCGGCCUAUCAGCUUGUUGGUGGGGUAAUGGCCUACCAAGGCGACGACGGGUAG
This 248-nucleotide ribosomal RNA is filed under the name uncultured bacterium. RNAcentral's name for it is "partial small subunit ribosomal RNA". It matches the Rfam family "Bacterial small subunit ribosomal RNA", at positions 26 to 286 of the family's 1533-position model. The record is from RNAcentral.